GGGCGCUGCGUCUUCGUAGGUGUCUGACGAGCUACCCACUCUGAGGACGAUAUACGGAUAACAAGACAGUGAACUGCCAAUAUGGGAAGCCAGAUCCACUGCCACUCCCAUGUAACCAAACCACCUACCGCUACCAUCCACAGAAACAAAUGCUUCAAAACGAACGGCGCGGUCGCUUGGGGCUGGGCCCAGACAAAAGCCCAGGAGAAAGCCCACAAACCCCCAAAGCCCCAGCGGGCAGGGAAGACCGUUUCAAGCCACACCUUCUGCUCUACCCUGGCAGAAGGAGAGAGAAGUCAAGGCCUAGGGCUCUGUACGUCUGGGAAGAGAGCCGAGGGCACAGACCAUACCUCCCGCCGGGCGGCUGGUAUUUCUGCUGCCUGUCCGGGUGCCCGGACACCCCCCCAAAGGAGGCAGUGGCUCCGAAAGGCUACUUACGGCCGGGCCGUCGGUGGUGGUAUAGCGGAUGAUGAUCUGGAAGGGCUGGCAGUGGUGGGGGAAAGAAGUAGGUGAAAGAGGGAGGUUUGCUGGAUCCAAACAUAAGUAAAUCCCUCAAAGCCUGAGGCCCACCUCUCUAGGGAUGGUGUACAGGAAACCUGACUGACCCAUGCUGACUCCAAAUUCCAUUUCCCCUUUUAUUGAAGACACAUCUAUUCAGCAAGGGGCAGCAGGGUUGGUGAAAGCAUGGGGGUAGUGACAGCAGCUUGGAGAAACCUCCACAGCCCUGUGGUGAGCCCAGCUGCACCUUCUGGCCAAGUUCUCCCUGGAUCUCCAUAUUUUUCUUUCUGCUUAGGAACUGAAGGCAAGAGCCCUGGUGUUAGCUCAUUGGUGUGACCUGAACUUGGCAAUUGCACUGAGGGUGAGACAAAACAGCAGAUUUUCAAGAACUGUCCAAAAUAUGGAUUUGGGUGAAAGGCUCCAACCCACUCUUCAUUAACGAAUCUGUGACUUGUGGUCGCAGUAGAUCAUUAAAUACAAAGAAACAUGAAGCGAACAAUGCUUUCUGUGCUGCUCAUCUGCAUACUAACACCCAGAAAACUUUUCUACUUUUGUUCCACUUCUUCCCUGUGGCAGUGAUGGCUGGGCUGUGAGCACCAGGUUCUUUGCUAUUAUAUUCAGGCCUAGAUCCUGAAAAUCUGUAUGCGACAUGACUGGAAAUACAAGAGUUGGUGUGGGUAGAGGAUGGGUGUUUAAGAAGACAUGGGCAUAAACAUUAUCCAGUCUACGCUAAUAAGGGGGUUAAGUAAGCUCUACACUCCCCUCUCAGGCCUCCCUCCUACUACAGGGCAGAAUCUCAUUAAUGUCAGACUGGGGUCCCUUAUGCUCCCUGUCCUGCUCAGCACUUAAACUUGUAUCAUCCUGUACUGGGCAUCGUGGAAAUAAUCUGCUGUACUCUUAAAGAAACUGAUCUGUCUUAAAGGGAAAGUCAGCUCCAGAUUGAUACAUCAAGAGAAACCCCCGAUGGUGAGAACUACUCAGCAGUGGGACUCUGCCAACAGCCCUGCUGCUCAGCCAGCGAUUUGUGUGCCUCAAAGAAACGCCUUCACGCAACAAGAGUGUACAAAACCCAAAAUAGUUUUAUUCGCUUUUUCAGAUUUUUGCCUCGACAAAACAUUUUGCAAACAUGCUAAGGCUACAAAAUGUCCAAGUUGACAAAGACAUGCAAUGCUGAGCAUUCAAUAAGUCACGGCUAUAACUGGAGUGACCACUCCCACCUGGGCCCCGGGGCCCACAGAACAGGGAUGGUGUACAGUAAUUAUGGUAACGUACCACACAGGACUCAGCAACCUGAGGUAGGUCUCUUUACAGUAAGAAAAUAACUUCCUUCCAGUGUCACACCCUGAUCAGUAGGAACCUGUUCAAAGUUGCAGAAGACUUUGGGGUGUUAAGCUAAUACGUGUGCAAGACCAAAACAGGAAAUGCUGAUGUAUUAUAAGCUUAGUGUAAGUGAGCAGCUUGAAGGGGGAGUGUUAUGUAUGCCUAUAAGAACCAACCUCAACCUGUAAGGAGCAUUAGCAGCUUCAAGAUAAAGGAUUCAACUGGAGCAGCUCAGGAAAGAAAAAAGACUUUAGUGCCAGCAACCCAGGGUUUGGAUUUGAACUUCAGAGAGCAAUCGUUUUACUGUAGGUUGUUCUAUAAACAUUUAGAUUCUAAUCACCAGUUAGAUCAGCAAAGCAGGAGUUUGGUUAUUUUAAUAGAAACAAAACCCAAACUCCAUUGAUACAUUAGGGAAUUGCCCCAGGACACUGCACGAGAAAGAGCUGCUGCAUUCCCAUCACUGCACCAGGACACAGUGAUCGUGGAACUUUCCUGUGACCACGAAGUGGUCUUCUCCCUGAACCACUCAGGAGAUCAUAAAAAAGCUACCCUGGGAAAGCAUCAUGGGAAGCAGCUGCCACCAUGAACAUUAGUGAUGCUCCAAACAGCUUUAACAAUAGUUACGAUGCAAUAGAGUUACACCACAGAGCCCUUCCCCCUUGUGCAGGACGACAACGAUGGAACAUUGAAGGACACUACUGCAAAGCUUCACUUCCAUUCAGACACGCAGAAAAUCCGGCACUACGAAAAGACCAGCUGUAAGAGACUAAAUGGUGUCUGAUACAGUCUGAUAAAGCCAGCUCUCUAGUACCGUAAACUGUACAAAAA
Long non-coding RNA from Dermochelys coriacea (leatherback sea turtle), 2646 nucleotides. RefSeq lists it as uncharacterized. NCBI's taxonomy places the organism in Eukaryota, Metazoa, Chordata, Testudines, Dermochelyidae. The transcript is spliced from 2 exons. The record is from RefSeq and is a predicted model, not a curated record.